GACGAACGCUGGCGGCGUGCCUAAUACAUGCAAGUAGAACGCUGAAGAGGGGAGUUUUCUCUUUUUGGGUGUUUUGCGAGCGGGUGAAUCACGCGUAGAACACCCCCUUUGUAGCGGGGGAAAACUAGGGAAAGAGAUAUAUAAUACCACAUCACUAUAGAACACACAUGAUUUAUAUUUAAAAGGGACUUUUGCCACACUACAAGAUGGACCUGCGUUGUAUUAGCUAGUAGGUGAGGUAAUGGCUCACCUAGGCGACGAUACAUAGCCGACCUGAGAGGGUGAUCGGCCACACUGGGACUGAGACACGGCCCAGACUCCUACGGGAGGCAGCAGUAGGGAAUCUUCGGCAAUGGGGGCAACCCUGACCGAGCAACGCCGCGUGAGUGAAGAAGGUUUUCGGAUCGUAAAGCUCUGUUGUAAGUCAAGAACGGGUGUGAGAGUGGAAAGUUCACACUGUGACGGUAGCUUACCAGAAAGGGACGGCUAACUACGU
RNAcentral lists this ribosomal RNA (496 nucleotides) under uncultured bacterium. RNAcentral describes it as "partial 16S ribosomal RNA". It matches the Rfam family "Bacterial small subunit ribosomal RNA", at positions 28 to 506 of the family's 1533-position model. The record is from RNAcentral.